AUGGCCAUGGCCAUGACGAGCCUGCAAGAUGUGCUGCAGCAGAUCUUCGAGUACAAUGGCUCCCCCGUGGUGGAGAUGGUGGGGAAGAACUGCUUCGCCAUCGCCAGUGACUACCACCUCGGUGUGCAGCUGCAGACCAUCGCCACCGACUUCCAACGGGCCUUCAAGAUCCACGGCAAGCUCUACAUCAGCCUCUCCGGCCUCACCACCGACGCCCAGACAUUGCAACAUGGUGACUCUAGUGCAGCUGAGAUAUUAGAUUGCACUUUGGGCGAGCUGCAGCGGGACAACCUGGAGUGGAAGAACUUCGAGGACAAGAUCAUUGAGAACCUGGAGAAGAUCAGCGACUACCUCAUCCUCGUCUGCAUGGUUGGCUCCUUUGGCAGACCCCUCUUUGGCUUCGACCAACUUACUUUUGUCGCUGGCUAG
RNAcentral lists this ribosomal RNA (429 nucleotides) under Triticum aestivum (bread wheat). RNAcentral's name for it is "partial small subunit ribosomal RNA". Lineage: Eukaryota; Viridiplantae; Streptophyta; Magnoliopsida; Poales; Poaceae. The record is from RNAcentral.